This 406-nucleotide ribosomal RNA is filed under the name uncultured bacterium. RNAcentral describes it as "partial 16S ribosomal RNA". It matches the Rfam family "Bacterial small subunit ribosomal RNA", at positions 29 to 526 of the family's 1533-position model. The record is from RNAcentral.
AUUGAAAGCUGGCGGCAGGCCUAACACAUGAAAGUCGAACGAGUGGCGGACGGGUGAGUAAUGUAUGGGAAACUGCCUGAUGGAGGGGGAUAACUAAUGGAAACGGUAGCUAAUACCGCAUACCAUCAGAUGUGCCCAGAUGGGAUUAGCUAGUGGGGGGGGUAAGGGCUCACAAAGGCGACGAUCCCUAGCUGGUGGGAGAGGAUGACCAGCCACACUGGAACUGAGACACGGUCCAGACUCCUACGUGAGGCAGGAGGGGGGAAUAUUGCACAAUGGGCGCAAGCCUGAUGCAGCCAUGCCGCGUGUAUGAAGAAGGCCUUCGGGUUGUAAAGUACUUUCAUCGGGGAGGCGUUACCCGCAGAAGAAGCACCGGCUAACUCCGUGCCAGCAGCCGCGGUAAUAC